Hemibagrus wyckioides is the source of this 11603-nucleotide long non-coding RNA. RefSeq lists it as uncharacterized. The transcript is spliced from 3 exons. The record is from RefSeq and is a predicted model, not a curated record. Lineage: Eukaryota; Metazoa; Chordata; Actinopteri; Siluriformes; Bagridae.
GGCAGUGGUAGUGUAGGAGGUGGUGGAGGCAGUGGUAGUGUAGGAGGUGGAGGUGGUGGUGCUGUUGUGGCUUUUUACAGACGUUAUUGUUCAAAAUAAAAUUCCAGCUCAAGCAGCAGCACAAUCUGAGCAUUUAUUCUUUGUAAAAACCAAACGCAGCGCUCUGAGGAUCUCCAUCAUCUCUGUCAGAAACCAUCAUCAUCAUGCUGAAGAUCACGGGCCUGAAAAUCUCUCUCUCUGCUUUAACCAGCGGCCAGAAAAUAAGCAGGCUUUCAGCUCCAGACUGUUUAUUAUCUGCAGACGCCGCAGACGGCCGAGCGAGAGGAUGCGUCGGGCCAGAGAUCGAACCCGAUAUGGUCAGAGGGUUUUCUUUUAAACUGUUUUACAACGUGACCUCGACGGUUUUGUGAGUGCUGCUGAUACGCUCGCGAUAAACACUGGAGGCGUGUGCGAGGUCGUGUAAAGCGAGCGCUCGGCGUUUAUCCGUUACAUCAGCCAGGAAAAUGAUGGGGUUUUAGAGAAAAGCUAUAAAACAACUUCUUUCAGUUAUUUGCUAUUUAAAACACUUUAACUUUCCCGAGAUUUCCCUUUUUAUGGAAGAAUAAAAGCGCUCUUGACUUGCAUCAAUAAUGUAGCUUUAAGAUUAAGUCUUAAGACGACGUGAAGCUAAACUUCCAUCCUAAAAAAACACCUAAUUCAUGUUUUAAUCCUGAUCCUAACUCCAUUCACAACUUGCUUACAUUAAUGCUAGCUUUUAAAACGUAGCUUUGGCUAACAACUGUAUCGCUGAGGUACAUUAAUACUCUAACAAAAACCAAACAAUGCUAAGCUAGUGGAUCUUUGUUCACAAAAGUCAUAAGAAAACACGUCAAAGAGGUGCAAAAUAUCCAGGCUUGCUUUGAAUUACCUCAGAAAAACCGAUGCUAAGCUAACAGGAUACAUUAAAUAAAAAUCAUAGAGAAGAACACCUGAAUCUGAACCUGAAACAUGACAUAAGGGACACAUUUAUAACUUCUUAUUCUCAUUAUGCCAGCUGUAGCUAGUGACUGAUACAAAAUGUUAGCUAUGUAUGCUAAAAACAAAACGCAAAUGAGCCUAAGCUAGCGUAAAUCUUUAAAUCUAAUGUAAAACACUUGUCAUCAUACUGAAAGUAAAGUUUAAGGAGAAUAUUUUUCUAAUAUAGAGGGUAAAAAUCGUUCUCCAUAGCUUUCAGAGACAAUCAUGCUAAGCUAGCAGCGUCAGUUUAGUCAGAAUCAGCCACCAGAAUAAUACAGUACAAGCCACAGUUACAUCUGAGCCUCAAACAUCGUGAGAUUUGCAUGAAGUUGAUAUUUUUAACGUGUUAUGUCAGCUAGCUAGCGACUUCUAUAAACCUUCUGUAAACGACGAGGCUAAGCUAGCUUAAAUGUUUGUUAUUUUUAAACACAAGGUUUUUUUUGUUGUACAAAAUUACAGAAGAAAAUAAACAGAUUGUCUUGUGAGCUUUUGGACACUAUCAUGCUAAGCUAACAGCGUUUGUUUAGUCAGAAUCAUUCACUGGACUAGUAACAAGAUUUAUUUCAACUUAAGUUGAACAUAGAGUGUUUAUUUAUUUAUUUAUUUUUAACUCUCUUUAGUCAAAAGCAUCUUCAUGCUGUUAUGCUAAGCUUUAUGAAUCUUACAUCUUAUGCUAGCACUAUUUUUAUUUACUCUCCCGGUUUCCAUGCAUCCUGGCUAAGUAAACAAACACAGAGAAAGCUAAUCAGAUUUAAACGCAGAUCAAUUCAAAACUAAGCUAGUAACCAGCAAGGCUCAAGUUUCUCUCAGUAAAACUUCAAACUUGCUAAUCAGGUGUCCUAGCAGGCCUGAGGGACAUUUUUAGCAUGAUGCGAACGCUAAUCGAGCUUUUUAUGCUUUCAUAAAUUAUUAGCAACAUUAGCAGCGGGAUGAAGAAUCUCCUCCAGUAGGAAUCUGAUUUACUGAAACGUUUAAAAGGGUCUCACUGGAGCCGGAUGAAUAAAAGAGCGUAAGAUUUAACAUGCUACGUAGAUUUAUCUUUGAAAUUGCAGCGGGGGGAAAAACGCGAGCGCUAAACGCUGCUUUGAAUAGGUAUCAUGUGUCUCGGGUUUGAGACGCAACAGCAGACGACUAAGUGUUUCCUGUCUGUCAGCGUGUGUGUGUGUGUGUUGUACCAGACGGGGGUCUGCUGUAGACCUAGCCUGCCCCUCCCCCCACUCCACAGCCCUAACUCUAGCUGAAGAGUCGAAGAUGAAUUAAAUAUAAAGAAGGUUUUCACAGAAAUCGCACAGAAUCAUUGACACCUAACGCUUACGACCCUGAACUUAUCAAAACCUCAAAAUAUCUGAGCGCUCCAGGCUGGGGAAAGACGCUGACCUUGGACUUCCUGUCGUGUGUGUGUUAGAUGUAGCGUCUGGCUGGAUGAAGUAAAGGAAACGUAGCAGGAGGAUGGUUAAUAUGGUUGUGUAAGGUUCGAGUCGUGUAGGCUGUUGUGGUGUAAGAGGAAUAAAUGAAGCAUCAGGGGGCUGCAUCCUGAAGCGCUUUAUUCCACUUCACCAGUUUGCCAAAGCUAAGUUUAUUUUAUAAAGAAUGUUAAUGGGUUUUUUUAAUACGUUUUAAUACAUUUAACGUUGUUGAACCUGUUAUCACUUACGGUACAGCAGCUAUUCCUAAUCGGUGUUUUUGUAGAACAUCUGCAAAACCUGCUGUCACUUAAUUUACAGCAGCUACAUGUUCUUGUUUUAUCCAUUUAUAGAUACAUUUAACGAUCUUCACCACCACCACCACCUUCACCUCCACCACCACCACCAUCUCCUCCUCCUUGUCCACCAUCACUACCUCCUCCUCCACCACCACCACCACCAUCUCCACCUACAUCUCCACGAACUCUGCCACAUCUACCUAUUGCUCCGCUACCUCCACCACCAACAUCCUCUUCCUUCAACACCACCACCACCACCACCUGCUGUCACUUAGGUUACUACAUGUUUUUUAUUUUUUUUAUCCAUUUAUAGAUGCAUUUAAUGUUGUGGAACAUCUGCAAAACCUGCCACUUAUGUUACAGCAGCUAUACGUUGUUGUUGUUGUUGUUUUUAUCCAUUUAUAGUCACGUUUAACGUUCUAGAAAUGUUUUAGUUACAUCAGCCAUGCGUUGUUGUUGUUUUUUUAUCUGUUUAUAGAUAUUUAUGCUACAGCAGCUGUCAACUCCCGUGUGCACAUCGAAAUAAAUUGGAUGAAUUUUUCCUUUCUAUUUAAGGUUCUCCAACGUGAGCUUUUUUCACACUCCGUCUCUCGAACCCUUUUCGGUGUCAGUAGCUCAGCUGUCGUGCCUAAGAAAGACGUCCCUCGACCUCUCGGCUGCUCUCCGCCCCGUGAGCUCCCGCAUUAGCCGCAUUCCUCGCACUCCAAGUUCAAAGUGCACGCUCUCUCGAUUGAUCAAGUCUGGAACAGGCCUGGGAUUUGAGAGCAGACCCUUCGCUAAGAGAGCCCCCAAAUCUGCCCCCUAAAAGCCUCUGUCUCUCACAUGACCUGGAGGAAUGGAGAUAAUGGUGUGUGUGUGUGUUAAAGUGUUGAAGCUGAUCUCUCAGACAGCCUGUCAAGGUUUCAGUAAUUGAGUUAAAAAGGCAUUUGGGAAGGUCUCUUUUUUUCGUUCUUCUCCUCCUCCUUUCUUCUCCUAACACCUUUUCUCCUUUGUUUUCAGUGGGAAUGGACCAGCUCCAGCUCUGAAGUCUCUCAUUUAGAGCACUUUGAUAUUAUCUGGCAAGUCGGAGCAGGCAGGCUGUUUCACCACAGCGUGCCAGAGUACUACAAGACUUUCCUGUACCGUGUUUAUGAUUCCCGCUGAAGACUUCCAGCGUUUCCCAUGCCGAGAUCUCCACUCGGAAAACCUUUUCCGUCGCCAUACACGCCGCAUGCCGGACGGAUCGUAACCGGAGUCUGUUCUGAAUGACAUACGGGACUGAUAUUUAUCUCGGGUCCCGUCAAGUCUGUUAGCAGAUCGAGAAACUCCAGAAAAACGCUGUGGCACAUUCACUGAGACCUGCCAUCUAAUCUCUAACUCUUUACAGGACUGGAGUUUCACUGAGGGUUAUUUUUUGGGCUAAAGACGUUUGAUUUGGUUUGUUUUUAAGGAAAACUGCUUGAACUGGUGAAAUCACCAGCACAGGAUUCUUCUGCUUUAACUCCUAGCAGUGAGGCACAUCUGAAAUGACUUUAUAUGAGAGCUGUGCUCACGUUCCACACACGUGAAUGGACUUCGGCUGAAUGAGUGUGGUGGUGACGUCACAACACGUCCUGAUAAAGUCAAGUCAACGAGUCAAGUCAACGAGUUAAAUCAAGUCAAGUCAAAUAAACAAGCCAACGUCAAGUGAACGAGUCAACUCAAGUGAACAAGUAAAUUCAACAAGUCGAGUCAAGUGAAGUUACCAAGUCAAGUCAACAAGUCAAGUCGAUUCAAGAAGUCAAGGCAAUAAGUCAAGUCAAGUCAAAAAGUCGUCACAUCAACAAGUCAACUCAAGUCAACUCAAAAAGUCAAGUCGUCAAAAACUCCUCUGAAUAUUGUGGAGAUUUGAUGUUAAUUCCUGCACUUGAUAAAAUCCCCAAAUCCUGAAGUAAUAAACUAAUAAUCCUGAUAAUAUUAAUAUCCUGACUCCUGACUAACACUGAGCUUUAAUAGAGCUUUAAUAGAACUCAAGCUGGGCUCAUACAGUUAGAGGAAAUCAAUCAAGGUCAUGAUGAUGUGAAGAUUCUUUCCCUCACUGUUUCUUUUCCUCUCUCUCUCUCUCUCUCUCUCUCUCUCUACACACAUAUUACACACAAAUUAGCCACGAGGCAUGAAGUUCUCUCCUUUUGUUAAAGCUUUAAAUAGCCGCUGUUUCUGACUGUUUCAGAGCUCUGACACUGGAGACUCCUUCCAUACACACCUGAACCCCUCUUCGUACCGCGUGCAUGUCUGAACGACGGUUGCUAUAGAAACAAUAAGGUAACAGAACGUGUGCAUUAAUAUUAACCCGUGAUUAGCACAGAACAGAAAACGAAGCCUGACUCCCCGACCAAUCAAAAUGAAGAACUCGUCAGCGCUGUGGUGUGACGGAUUGAGCAAGUUGUCCUGAGGGGAAAAACGUCGUCAUGCCAAAAGCUUCAGGUUUCAGAACAAGACGUGAAAUUUAUGAGACUGCUCCUGGCAUUUACUUCACGUUCCCAUGGUAACGCUCGAACCAACGAUUGACGUUAACAAACCUGUUGCACCGCGUUCGUCUCUCUCUGUCUGUGUUUCUCACUCUCUGUCCUUCCCUGUCUCUCUCUCUGUCCUUCCCUGUCUCUCUCUCUGUCUGUCUAUCACACACUCUUUUUCUGUCUGCCUGUCCUUCCCUGUCUGUCUCUCUCUCGCUCUCUUUUUCUCUCACACACACACACACACACACACUCUCUCUCUCUCUGUCUCUUUCACACACAUACACACACACAAUCUCGCUUUCUCUCUCUCUGGCUCACACACACACUCUGUCUCUCUCUCUGUCUCUCUCUCACACACACUCUCUCUCUCUCUCUCUCUGUCUGUCUCACACACACACAAUCUCGGUCUCUUUCACACACAAACACAAUCUCAGUCUCUCUCUCUAUGUCUCACACACACACACACUUUCUGUCUCUCUCUCUUUGUCUGUCUCUCUCACACUCUCUGUCUCUCUCUCUCUCCCACAGACACUCUUUGUCUCUCUCUUUCUUUCUCACUAUCUCUUUGUCUGUCUCUCUCACUCUCUCUCUCUCAGACUGAAUUUCACAUUUAAUAAUAAUAAUAAAGAUCUUCAUUUUUGACCUGACAGUAAAUAAAAAGCUCUUGAGGACAAAACGUUGGCCUUCCCACGCUCCUCGCUUUAUCCCAUCCUUCUCACUGUACAGGAUAAUUAUGUGAUAAUUACAGAGGAGAUCGGUCAACGCCCACUUUUUUUAUCACAAACCUGGUUCUGGAAGUUUCUUUCCCAUUCAUUAUCUUUUUGUAUUUAAGCAUUUUUUAGAGUUUAAAGCACCAAAGUGGAGCAGCGUGUCACAACAUGAACGCCUUUUUAACAUUCCUUAUUACAAACUAAAUCAUUUUCACCUCCUGACCUCUUCUCUCUCACGUUUUUUUUUGGUGUUUUGAGUUGGAAAGUUUGGUGUAGGCUGUUAGGGACCUGACCAUCAUCGUGUUAUUACUUCAGAAAAAAAAAAGAAAAAGACACACAAGGGUGUGAUUCUGUGUCAUGUCAUAUUUACACGGACAAAUCUGUACACUCGGGAAGCAUGAGCAGUCCAUUUCUUUCUCAAACGCUUCUUCUUUAUACAAAAGUGCAAAUCUUUAACAAAUAAAACAAUCCUUCAGUUAUUAGAGAAGUCCAGUUUUUAAAGUUCUGUCUUGAGCACAGCUUCAAGUCUCUUGUGCCAGAUUCAAAUAAAGUGCUUCUACAGCAGCAGCCGGAUGGACGACAAGUCUAUUUUUAUUUCUCCUCCCAAAGCCGUUUCAGACCGGCUCCAGCUUGCCUCUCGGACCGUGCCGUCCCCAGUGGACCAGCGAUAAGAGUCUCUGGCUGCUCAGAUCGGACUGUCUGAUCUUAUCGCAGGUCAGACAGCAGCUCUCGUGUCCUCCCAGAGGCAUCAUGCACUCCAUGUCCAGUUUGGUGCCGCGGCUUUUGGCCAGAUGCUGGCCGUGGAAGCCGUAGUGGAGGCGAGAGAGCAUCUCGCGUCGCUGCUGCCUCAGGCGCCGGUUCUCGCUGCGGAGCAUCCUCAGAGCCAGCGUGAUGAGGAGGACGAGCACGAGGCCGCCAGCGAUGGGCACGGCGAUGACGGCGGCGCGGAACCACACUUCCUUGGAGGAGGGGAUUUCCUGCACGCGGGCGAUUAUCUGGCGUCCGCCGUCAGCCUGAGGACGACUCCGAUGAUCUGUGGGAAAUUGAUAGGUUUCUUACGUUGAACAGAUAAGACAUUUAAAACAUUGAGAAUUUAUACCUUUUGUACUUUUUAUCCCUUUAUAGUAACAUUUUAUGUUGGAUCUCUCUGGUCAUUUUCUCUCGCUCUCAAAGUUAUGAAGACAAAAAAUGUCACUUUUCACAGAGUUUACAGCUUCACCAAAGCACCGACACUGGAAACUCCUUCCAUAACCGAUACAUAAACAUCUCCUUAUAGAAAACCGCGCAAAUGACAUAGCAUGUCCAACAUACGUUAACAUUUCUGGCAUUUAUCAGACAGCCUUAUCCAGAGUGACUUACAAUUAUAUCACAUUUUAUACAAUUGAGGGUUAAGGGCCCGACUUAGGGGCCCAGCAGUAGCAGCUUGGUGGACCUGGGAUUCGAACUCACAACCUUCUGAUCAGCAGUCCAACACCUCGACCACUAAGCUUGCACUUCCCCUAUAAAAACCCUUCUGUACGCUCUUACUAUCAAAAUCAUCACCAUUUAGAACGAGAGUAUUAAUAUCAUUUUCCUUGCAGCUAGAACUUCUUUUCUCUCAGAGCUGCUGAGAUGAAUCCACUCCUUCUUCCUGACCAAUCAGAUUUGAGAAUUUUAGCAACAUGAUAAGCGUUUUUGCUUAAUAGCUUCAGUAGAGAAAAUAACAGAGCCUGGUGAGGGAAUGAAUGUUUAUAGCUGCUAUAUCAUGACUGAAAACAGGAAUGUUACUAUAAAUAGACAAAUAUUGGUGAUGAUUCUGUUUGUUAUAAAAGGAAAUAACUCAGUGUUAGGGAACUGAGAGUGACUCCGCUCAUGCCCGGCUUCAUCACGUCAACCUGUAGCUGAUUAUUUUCCUACAGCAGCUGACCUGCAUGUGUUUAACUCCUUACUGAUGUUGAUUAAUGCAUCGCUUGUGAUCACUAGUGUCAGGUUUGAUAUUGAAAAUGUUUUGUCCAUCACUAUGUCGAUAUAUACAGGUGAAGUGAAUAAGACUGAGUAUCUCCUCAUCAUGGCCCCUGUUAGUGGGUGGGAUAUAUUAUGCAGCAAGUCAACAUUUUGUCCUCAAAGUUGAUGUUAGAAGCAGGAAAAAUGGACAAGCGUAAGGAUUUGAGCGAGUUGGAUGAAGGGUCAAAUUGUGAUGGCUAGACGACUGGAUCAGAGCAUCUCCAAAACUGCAGCUCUUGUGGGGUGUUCCCGGUCUGCAGUGGUCAGUAUCUAUCAAAAGUGGUCCAAGGAAGGAACAGUGGUGAACCGGCGACAGGGUCAUGGACGGCCAAGGCUCAUUGAUGCACGUGGGGAGUGAAGGCUGGCCCGUGUGAUCCGAUCCAGCAGACGAGCUACUGUUGCUCAGAUUGCUGAAGAAGUUUAGGCUGGUUCUGAUAAUAAGGUGUCAGAAUACACAGUGCAGGACGGGUCAGGACUGAUCUGGCAGCAAAAAGGGGGACCAACACUAGGCAGGUGGUCAUAAUGUUAUGCCUGAUCCGUGUAUUAUAUUAUUCUACUUACUUUUAACAUGAUUGUAUCAGAUUCAGUGCAUCAGUGUAUUGUACAGUACACGCCUUUUGUAAAUGACACCGCUGGGGGUGUGAGGGUGGACCCAGGGUGGGCACAGGGGUAGGGUAUUUUAGGUAUUUUCAGAAACACAUAUUAAAAUAUGUUUGCACUGUUAUACUGUAUUUGUUAGUUUGGGUCUGAAAUAAAUAAAUAAAAGUAAAUAAAAAACAUACAAAAAAUAUUCGAACAUUAUGUAACAAUAGUCACUUAAAAUUUAGCACAGUAUUUCCAUUGACAGAAAGGGGCGUGGCUUGGAAUUUUAUGACGUAACAAUACUUCUAUACUUGACCACAUCUAAAUCUUUGUGCUAUUCAUCAGAAACCUGACUCGUGUCGGUCCAGGGGUAAUAAUUAGACUCAGUCUCAGUGUCCAAAUGUAAUCCGUUCCAAUUUUAUGCACUAUUUCUCUGCUAAGCGUGCUCUUACCCAGGCUUUCUCCCCGGCCGUAGGUGAGAUCCUGUGGCCCUCUGUAAUUGCACAUAUCCUCGUGACAGCACUCGAGCGUCGCAGGCCUGCGCAGGGCUUCGUGGGUAGCCUCGGCUCGGCACGCGCUUCCUCCGUUAAGCUCGGGUUCGUAACAGCCGUGUGAAAGCGGAGACUUGGAGCUUUGUGGAUCUAAGACCCGCGUGAAGCAGGCGUUCAGCUCCGACUUGCACAUGUAGCCGGUAGCCACACAGUGAGGAGAGUCACAAUAACACCGUAUUUCUCCUGCAUAGGGACAAAAAGGACGAGUCACAAUAUUAUUUCCAUCAGAAAUUAGUCAUUAAAUUUAAUUUCAUUCAGUUCGCUCAAUAUAAUAAAUGAUCUGUGUGUGUGUGUGAGAUCAUCUGUAAGCGUCUCUACAGCUAUAAUGAAGUCACAGAUACACAAAUGAGCUUCUUAAGACACUUCACACGUUAUGUUUUGAUAAAAAGGAGCUGAUUUCUGUGACACAAGCUACAGUUACACACCUGGGUUUUAGGCACGUCACGUGUUUUCAGGUUUCACGUGAGACUUUUCUUUCAUUCAUAAAUGAAAAAAAUCAUAAAAUGAUGUAUUCGUUGCUAUAUGUUCGCUUGUGUUUUAACUUUUUACACAAAAUAUGUUGAAUGAAAAGCCCUAAUUUCAGUCACAUGGAUCUGGACUUCACAUGAUUUUUUUUACACACUAUUCCUUUAAGUCUCUCUCUCUCUCUCUCUCUCUCUCCUGUCUCUUUCUCUGUCUCUCUCUCUCUCUUCUCUCUCUUUCCUUUCUUUCUCUCUCUCUCUCUCUCUCUCUCUCUCUGCUCGUGUUAACGUUUACUUCACCUUCUUACCUUCAGGCUAACACUUCAUCUGUUUUUUUUUUCUUCAAUUGUUUACAUGAUUUUUACACACUAUUCCUCCAAGUCUCUCUCUCUCUCUCUGUGUCUCUCUCUCUGUGUCUCUCUCUCUUCUUUCUCUCUCUGCUCGUGUUCACGUUUAUUUUACCUUCUUACCCUCAGGCUAACACUUCGUCUGUUUUUGUUUAACACGUUUUUUCACGUGGAGCGCCUUUUCUCCCCUACGUGUUAACGUGCCGUUAUCUCUCUCUGUCUCUCUCUCGCUCUGUCUCUCUCUCUCUCACUUUUAUUUGUUCCUAAAGGAAAACAUAAUGUGCUGAACAUAACCUAUAAUCUGUUAACAAGAUAUAUUUAGAGCAAGAUAAUGCUCCAGAGCGAGAUUACCUAGAGCAGGACAAUCUAUUAAAUAUGAUAUGGUAUAAAUGAAUAUUUUACAAUUAAACAUCCUGGUGUGCUUCUAUAUCACCUUAAUACUGCGUUUUCUAACAUAUAUUAGUAUGUUAUUAAGACUUUAUAAAGGCUUUAUUCAGACUUUAUAACAGAAGCUUUUCCUAAGCAAAACAACUUCACCUUCCAUCUUUCUACAGACACGUGCAGGUUUAAAGACGUCCACUAAAUCAUUCUACAUGGGUGAUAAAAUGGAUUUAUUUCUUGUAUACGCUAUAAUCCUGAUGUUUUGAGUUCUCCUCACCUCUGGUUAAGAGCACAGCCAUGGCCCAGAGCUCCAGCUGCAGCCAAAUGGAAACCAGGCGCUCCAUUAAGAAGGACACUUUAAUACUUCUGUCUCUCUCUGUUUGUCUCAGCUUGUCCAGGACACACACAUCAUGACGCAGGACCAAUCCGGACGAUAAUCCAUCUUCUUCUUCAUCUUCAUGAUCAUCAUCCUCCUAAAUCACAUCAUAAAGACUUCAAAGACACACAAACACAAAAUCUUCUGAAAAGCUGCUCUUCAAACCACGCUUUCUUUUUCACAUCCAGAAAAGAUAAAUUCCAGUUCCUGAGCUGUUUCGUUUUUCCCCUUUUUUCCCCCUCUUUCUCCUUCUUUCUGGUGGUGACGUGUGUUUUUGAGAAUGGAAGUCCACACGGAACCGCUGACACGCCGCCGAUCAUCUGAACUCACGCAGCCCUGAGCCGGAUCACAGAACCGGAUAGACUCCUCCCACGAACACGCUGAUUGGACUACCGCGUGCCUCGUUUGCAUACGAGGGAUUUCAUUGGACCUGCCUGAUCCAUCCAGACGCUCUACCCUUGGUUAGAGUCUCGUGGCUUGGUGGUGCUCCUGCUGCUGUGGACAGAUCUGCAUGGACAGCCCGUGACCCAGGGGACUGCUGUGGAUAGAGCUACUCUGAGACUAACACCGUCUCUGACCUGCCUAUUCAUCGGUCAGCUUGCGACAGGAAGGAAUUAGUGCUAAUGAACUACACUGACCUACUAGUUCCUGAAGAGCUCUUGGUUGCUGUUGCAGAAAGGACAUUAUCUACAUUGACAUUAUUUCCUGUCCAGUGUUACCCAAAUGAGGGCGAGGUUCCCUUCUGAGCCUGGUUCCUCUCAAGGUUUCUUCCUCAUAUCAUCUCGGAGAGUUUUUCCUCACCAGCAUGGCCUCAGGCUUCUCAUUAGGGAUAACUGUCAGAGAUAAAUGUUAACUUAAAACUUUUUUUCUGCUUCUAUAUUUCUGUAAAGCUUACUUUGAGACAAUGUCCAUUGUUAAAAGCUCUAUACAAAUAAAUCAAACUGAAUGCAAAGCGCGCGCACACAGCAGGAGAAAAUACACUAAAUUAUAUUCAUAUAAAUGAUCUCCACAUAUCCAUGGACUUUUCCCAGGAUAGGAUU